Molecule: long non-coding RNA, 1121 nt
Organism: Dreissena polymorpha
Lineage: Eukaryota; Metazoa; Mollusca; Bivalvia; Myida; Dreissenidae
Exons: 4
Source: RefSeq, a predicted model, not a curated record
UGUUUUUUGUGUGUAACUAUUGUUAGAAAUUUCAUGAAAUUAAAGAUAUGUGUGUAUUGUUUUACUGUAAAAGUGCUCUUAAGUUGUGUUGGAAUUAAUUCUUUUAUUUGACUUAAAAUUGUGGGAUUGUGUCUUUCUGAAUCUGCUGUAUAGAAUCCUAUUGUGUAACUUAAUAUUAUGGAUGUCACAUUUGCAUUAUUGUAGUGGUUUUCUAACACGUUUCUUUGGGAUGAGUUGAUGAGACAUCAAUAGAAAUGUCAGCAAGCGGCUCUUUCCAGUUCUAUAAGAGAAGUUCAUCAUUGGCCAGUCUUCCAAGGAAGUGUCCAAGCCAAAGCAUGCCUUGAAGGUUCACAUGUGGGGAGGCAUCAGUUAUCAGGGACCAACACGCUGUUGUGUUUUCACUGGCAUAAUGGACUCCGUUUCAUACCAGCAAAUCUUGAAAUCAAGUCUCUUGCCACUGCCAACAGAAAAUAUCCAAAUGGAUUUCGACUUUAUCAGGAUAAUGACGCCAAACACACCAGUCGAUCAACUAUGCAGUGGUUGAAUGAUCAAAUAGUGAAGACCAUGCCUGCACCAGCAUCGAGUCCGGACCUGAAUCCUAUAGAGAAUGUUUGGGCAACAUUGAAGGAUUAUUUAAAGCGACAAGUGAAGCCUAGAACAAAGGCUCAACUUGUCCAUGGAAUAACAGCGAACAACCUAACAGCGGAAGACUGUGCAAAAUACAUAGACCAUAUUCACAGAAUCUUACCACAUGUUGUUCUAAAUGACGGUGGACCAUCAGGAUUUUUGUGAGGUGGAUCAUUAAAAAAUCAAGGACUCCAACAAAAUGCAUAUACAGUGUAUAUGUGACCAAUGUUGUACUGAAUAGUUUACUGACAUUUAGGUUAGCUUUAAUAUAUCCUUGUAAAUAUUGAAACUUGUUAUUUCUACCAGAGUUUGUCUGUCAGGGAAGACUGUUUUGAGAAUGAUGAAACUUAAAGAAUGAUUAAUUAAAUUAAUUUAACUAUUGACUUAGAUUUGAUCUACAUUUUAUUGGAAAGAACGAACGCCAGACUUAAACUAGCGUGUAAAAGAUUAAAAAAAUAACAAAUAUUCAGGUAUUUUUUUGCUUUUGCAAAAUA